GGCCGCUUAGUCAAACGGUUAAGACGUCGCCCUCUCACGGCGAAGAUAGGAGUUCGAUUCUCCUAGUGGUCACCA
Molecule: transfer RNA, 75 nt
Filed under: Clostridia bacterium
Lineage: Bacteria; Bacillati; Bacillota; Clostridia
Also listed under: 1 other name
Description: tRNA-Glu
Rfam family: tRNA
About the family: Transfer RNA (tRNA) molecules are approximately 80 nucleotides in length.
Source: RNAcentral